GACGAACGCUGGCGGCGUGCUUAACACAUGCAAGUCGAACGAAGUGGCGAACGGGUGAGUAACGCGUAAUCAACCUGCCCUUCAGCGGGGGACAACAGUUGGAAACGACUGCUAAUACCGCAUACUGAAGGAGGGGAUUGCGUCUGAUUAGCUAGUUGGAGGGGUAACGGCCCACCAAGGCGAUGCUCAGUAGGCGGGCGGAGAGGAUGAACGGCCACAUGGGGACUGGGAAACGGCCCAGAAUACUACGGGAGGCAGCAGUGGGGAAUCUUCCGAAAGGGACGAAAGUCUGACGGAGCAACGCCGCGUGAGUGAUGACGGCCUUCGGGUUGUAAAGCUCUGUUAAUCGGGACGCGGUACCGGAAUAGAAAGCCACGGCUAACUACGUGCCAGCAGCCGCGGUAAUUC
Molecule: ribosomal RNA, 408 nt
Filed under: uncultured bacterium
Lineage: Bacteria
Description: partial 16S ribosomal RNA
Rfam family: Bacterial small subunit ribosomal RNA
Source: RNAcentral